AACGAACGCUGGCGGCAUGCCUAACACAUGCAAGUCGAACGAGACCUUCGGGUCUAGUGGCGCACGGGUGCGUAACGCGUGGGAACCUGCCCUUAGGUUCGGAAUAACUCCCCGAAAGGGGUGCUAAUACCGGAUAAUGUCUUCGGACCAAAGUUUUAUCGCCUUGGGAUGGGCCCGCGUUGGAUUAGCUAGUUGGUAGGGUAAAAGCCUACCAAGGCGACGACCCAUAGCUGGUCUGAGAGGAUGAUCAGCCACACUGGGACUGAGACACGGCCCAGACUCCUACGGGAGGCAGCAGUGGGGAAUAUUGGACAAUGGGCGAAAGCCUGAUCCAGCAAUGCCGCGUGAGUGAUGAAGGCCUUAGGGUUGUAAAGCUCUUUUACCCGGGAUGAUAAUGACAGUACCGGGAGAAUAAGCUCCGGCUAACUCCGUG
This 433-nucleotide ribosomal RNA is filed under the name uncultured bacterium. RNAcentral describes it as "partial 16S ribosomal RNA". It matches the Rfam family "Bacterial small subunit ribosomal RNA", at positions 29 to 507 of the family's 1533-position model. The record is from RNAcentral.